GAGGAGCAUGGGAACGCUGUCGCUGGUCUCUGGUGCUGGACUUAGAGGCAUGUGCACGCUACUACCAUGGGAUCCCUCGACGUCUUUCAUCCAUCUAUCACCUGUGCACCUAAUGUAGGUUGGUAUGGUUCUGGUGAAACGGAAUCGGAGAACCUAUGUCUUCAUAUACGUCUUUGUGUAGAAAGUCUCAGAAUGUUUUUACUAUCAGAGAGUCGCGACUUCUAGGAGACGUGAAUCUUUGAGUCAAAAGUUAUUACAACUUUCAGCAAUGGAUCUCUUGGCUCUCGCAUCGAUGAAGAACGCAGCGAAACGCGAUAUGUAAUGUGAAUUGCAAAUCUACAGUGAAUCAUCGAAUCUUUGAACGCACCUUGCGCUCCUUGGUAU
RNAcentral lists this unclassified non-coding RNA (384 nucleotides) under uncultured Basidiomycota. RNAcentral describes it as "partial contains 18S rRNA, ITS1, 5.8S rRNA and ITS2". The stretch from base 258 to 384 matches the Rfam family "5.8S ribosomal RNA", at positions 1 to 126 of the family's 154-position model. The record is from RNAcentral. Lineage: Eukaryota; Fungi; Basidiomycota.